Molecule: transfer RNA, 77 nt
Filed under: Chiayiivirga flava
Lineage: Bacteria; Pseudomonadati; Pseudomonadota; Gammaproteobacteria; Lysobacterales; Lysobacteraceae
Description: tRNA-Asn
Rfam family: tRNA
About the family: Transfer RNA (tRNA) molecules are approximately 80 nucleotides in length. Their secondary structure includes four short double-helical elements and three loops (D, anti-codon, and T loops). Further hydrogen bonds mediate the characteristic L-shaped molecular structure. tRNAs have two regions of fundamental functional importance: the anti-codon, which is responsible for specific mRNA codon recognition, and the 3' end, to which the tRNAs corresponding amino acid is attached (by aminoacyl-tRNA synthetases). tRNAs cope with the degeneracy of the genetic code in two manners: having more than one tRNA (with a specific anti-codon) for a particular amino acid; and 'wobble' base-pairing, i.e. permitting non-standard base-pairing at the 3rd anti-codon position.
Source: RNAcentral
GCCCGAGUAGCUCAGCCGGUUAGAGCACUUGACUGUUAAUCAGGGGGUCGUUGGUUCGAGUCCAACCUCGGGCGCCA